CAGUUAGAAAUGACUGCUAAUACCGCAUAAGCGCACAGGGUCGCAUGACCUAGUGUGAAAAACUCCGGUGGUAUGAGAUGGACCCGCGUCUGAUUAGCUAGUUGGUGAGGUAACAGCCCACCAAGGCGACGAUCAGUAGCCGACCUGAGAGGGUGAUCGGCCACAUUGGGACUGAGACACGGCCCAAACUCCUACGGGAGGCAGCAGUGGGGAAUAUUGCACAAUGGGGGAAACCCUGAUGCAGCGACGCCGCGUGAAGGAAGAAGUAUUUCGGUAUGUAAACUUCUAUCAGCAGGGAAGAAAAUGACGGUACCUGACUAAGAAGCCCCGGCUAACUACGUGCCAGCAGCCGCGGUAAUACGUAGGGGGCAAGCGUUAUCCGGAUUUACUGGGUGUAAAGGGAGCGCAGGCGGGAGAACAAGUUGGAAGUGAAAUCCAUGGGCUCAACCCAUGAACUGCUUUCAAAACUGUUUUUCUUGAGUAGUGCAGAGGUAGGCGGAAUUCCCGGUGUAGCGGUGGAAUGCGUAGAUAUCGGGAGGAACACCAGUGGCGAAGGCGGCCUACUGGGCACCAACUGACGCUGAGGCUCGAAAGUGUGGGUAGCAAACAGGAUUAGAUACCCUG
This 624-nucleotide ribosomal RNA is filed under the name uncultured bacterium. RNAcentral's name for it is "bacterial SSU rRNA". It matches the Rfam family "Bacterial small subunit ribosomal RNA", at positions 147 to 789 of the family's 1533-position model. The record is from RNAcentral.